RNAcentral lists this long non-coding RNA (360 nucleotides) under Mytilus galloprovincialis (Mediterranean mussel). The record is from RNAcentral. Lineage: Eukaryota; Metazoa; Mollusca; Bivalvia; Mytilida; Mytilidae.
CAAAUUGUGAUCCAUAUUUUAUCAGAGACAUACAAUUGUGUUUAUAUUAUCUAUGUCUCUGAUUCUGAGAAAAAUAACUUGCUGAAUUUUUUAGUUAAAACAUGUAUACUAUUAAUUAUAAAGGUAUAGAUCAUAAUUUGAUAGAAAACUUUUUGAGUUCUAUGUAUUCAAUCACGAACCCAUCUGCUUUGUUCAAGCAUUAUAGAAGAUCCUAUCUUUGUGCAAUUACAUUUGUACAUCAACAUAUAGAUAUAGGAAGAUGUGACAUGUUUUAUUUGAAUGAGUUGACUUUGUUGAUAUUCAUAUUAUUACAAGGAUGUAUUUUAGCUUUAAUAAUAUGUAUGAUUUAUUUGAUAGUAC